CGCGUAGGUGGUAGUGCAAGUCUGAGGUGGAAUCUUAGGGCUUAACCCUAAAAUUGCCUUGGAAACUGCAUUACUUGAGUCAGUGAGGGGAGGGUAGAAUUCCUGGUGUAGCGGUGAAAUGCGUAGAUAUCAGGAGGAAGGCCGGUGGCGAAGGCGGCCCUCUGGCGCUGAACUGACACUGAGGCGCGAAAGCGUGGGGAGCAAACAGGAUUAGAUACCCUGGUAGUCCACGCCCUAAACGGUGGGUACUAGGUGUAGGGCUCGUAAGGGUUCUGUGCCGAAGCGAAAGCAUUAAGUACCCCGCCUGGGGAGUACGGCCACAAGGUUGAA
This 330-nucleotide ribosomal RNA is filed under the name uncultured bacterium. RNAcentral describes it as "bacterial SSU rRNA". It matches the Rfam family "Bacterial small subunit ribosomal RNA", at positions 568 to 898 of the family's 1533-position model. The record is from RNAcentral.